CCUUAAACGAGACCUAUCGGCUGGUUAUAAGGCUGAAGGAGCAAUCCUUCAAACCCAAAUGAUUGCCUGACCAAGUCCGAACAUCUCAGGUCGAUCGAAGUUUAUGAUGUGGCUUUCAAACUACUUCUGGUUUUUUCCUUCAGUUAGCAUCUAACUAUGAACGUUAAAUUGCACUAACUGAAGUUAACUUACAGAACUUAUUCGGUAGUGGCAGUAAACUUCAACUAAAGAACUUACUAACACUCACUCCAAAACUCUAAAUUUCAGCAACUUAUCUAACUAAUCUUGUGUUAGAUUGAGAGCCUGCUGGGAUUGACCAGCGAGAACCUUGAAAACUGCAUAGAAACUUGUCAGGUAGUUAGUGACGACAGAAGUUUACUUCUGGAGAUUACUAAUACAUAGACACCAAUGAAUUUUUGUUAG
Molecule: unclassified non-coding RNA, 423 nt
Filed under: Pantanalinema rosaneae CENA537
Lineage: Bacteria; Bacillati; Cyanobacteriota; Cyanophyceae; Leptolyngbyales; Leptolyngbyaceae
Description: 16S-23S ribosomal RNA intergenic spacer
Source: RNAcentral